RNAcentral lists this ribosomal RNA (745 nucleotides) under uncultured archaeon. RNAcentral describes it as "bacterial SSU rRNA". It matches the Rfam family "Archaeal small subunit ribosomal RNA", at positions 128 to 860 of the family's 1478-position model. The record is from RNAcentral.
AACCCCGAGAAAUUGGGGCUAAUCUCCGAUAGGUGUGAUGUCCUGGAAUGGUAUCACGCCUAAAGGUCCCAACAGCAUGUUGUUGUUACGCCUAAGGAUGGGGCUGCGGCCGAUCAGGCAGUUGGUGAGGUAAUGGCUCACCAAACCUUUGACCGGUACGGGCCAUGAGAGUGGUAGCCCGGAGAUGGAUACUGAGACAAGGAUCCAGGCCCUACGGGGCGCAGCAGGCGCGAAACCUCCUCAAUGCACUGAAGUGUGAAGGGGUUACCUCGAGUGCCAUCUGAAGAAGGUGGCUUUUCCUUGGUCUAAAUAGCCUUGGGAAUAAGAGGGGGGCAAGACUGGUGUCAGCCGCCGCGGUAACACCAGCCCCUCGAGUGGUGGGGAUGAUUAUUUGGCCUAAAGCGUCCGUAGCCGGCCGAGUAAGUUUCCCGUUAAAUCCAACGUCUCAAGCGUUGGACUGCGGGAAAUACUGCCCGGCUAGAGAGUGGGAGAGGUAAGCGGUAUUCUGGGGGUAGGGGCGAAAUCCUUUGAUCCCCGGAGGACCACCAGUGGCGAAGGCUGCUUACUAGAACACGUCUGACGGUCAGGGACGAAAGCUGGGGUAGCGAACCGGAUUAGAUACCCGGGUAGUCCCAGCUGUAAACGAUGCACGCUAGGUGUUGGGUCGGCCACGCGCCGCCACAGUGCCGCAGGGAAGCCGUUAAGCGUGCCGCCUGUGAGUACGGCCGCAAGGCUGAAACUUAAA